GAAGGUGUAGCUCAGUGGCAGAGCACAUGCCUAGCAUGCACGAGGUCCUGGGUUCAAUCCCCAGUACCUACA
Molecule: transfer RNA, 72 nt
Filed under: Camelus bactrianus (Bactrian camel)
Lineage: Eukaryota; Metazoa; Chordata; Mammalia; Artiodactyla; Camelidae
Also listed under: 2 other names
Rfam family: tRNA
About the family: Transfer RNA (tRNA) molecules are approximately 80 nucleotides in length. Their secondary structure includes four short double-helical elements and three loops (D, anti-codon, and T loops).
Source: Rfam by way of RNAcentral